RNAcentral lists this ribosomal RNA (504 nucleotides) under uncultured bacterium. RNAcentral's name for it is "partial 16S ribosomal RNA". It matches the Rfam family "Bacterial small subunit ribosomal RNA", at positions 29 to 523 of the family's 1533-position model. The record is from RNAcentral.
AACGAACGCUGGCGGCACGUUUUAAGCAUGCACGUCGAAAGGCAGCAGGGGGCAACUCUGUGAGAAUGGCGAACGGGUGAGUAACACGUAGGUGAUCUGCCUUGAGGAUGGGGAUAGCCUGUGGAAACACAGGGUGAUACCGAACGAGCUGACGAGACUUUGGUUGUGUUAGUAAAGGUGCUACGGCACCGUCUUGAGAGGAGCCUGCGGCUGAUUAGCUAGUUGGUGGGGUAAGAGCCUACCAAGGCAACGAUCAGUAGCCGGCCUGCGAGGGUGUACGGCAACACUGGAACUGAGACACGGUCCAGACUCCUACGGGAGGCAGCAGCUAAGCAUCGUCCGCAAUGGGCGAAAGCCUGACGGAGCGAUGCCUCGUGAUCGAUGAAGGUCGAGAGAUUGUAAAGAUCUUUUCUACAUGGGGAAUAAGUCUGGGAGUGAAUGCCCGGAUGAUGACGUUAGUGUAGGAAUAAGCCCCGGCUAAUUACGUGCCAGCCGCCGCUGUAA